GCUCCUGGCUUUCUCUGGAUGAAGAUGUAGAACUCUCAGCUCCUCCUGGGAGCUACCAUGCUCUCUCCUUGAUGAGAUAAUGGACUGACCCUCUGAAACGGGCCCUGAUAACUGUAUGUUUUAUAUGAUAAGCGACAAAAGCCCCUGGAAGCCUGGGUUCCUGAGUGACAAGUUGGAACAGCACCCUCUUGGAUCCAUAUUGUAUUUAUGAGGAGCUCAACGUGGAGUAUUGAGAUGCUGAUAUUUUGUUAAUGUGCUGCUAUAACCUGGCUUCCAAUUCCAAAUUAAUUCACAACCACUUAGUGUUACAAUAAGGAUCCUUUGGCUUGACAGUGUGUGGUAGAACCUUAUAACACCUGGUAUAUAGUGAGUGCUGUAUGAGAGUUUGGGAAACUAAAUACAACAAUACAGGGUAGGCAAUGGUCAUAGUAGUAACUCAACCAGCAUGGUUUAGAUCAGAAAGAGACUUAACACUACUUAAGGAAAUUCAGGUGGUUUUUUUUUUUUAAUUGUGUGUAUGAGUGUUUUUCCUAUAGGUAUGUAAGUGCAUUACAUGUGUGCCUGGUACCCAUAAAGACCAGAAGAGAACAUGGAAUGCCCUGGAACUAGAGUCAUUCAUAAGAGUAGCCAGUUCUCUUAACCAUUGAGUCACCCACCUCUCCAGCACAGAAACUCAGUUUUUAAAAUUGAAAUGUAAAAGCC
RNAcentral lists this long non-coding RNA (702 nucleotides) under Mus musculus (house mouse). RNAcentral describes it as "elncRNA-EC6". The record is from RNAcentral. Lineage: Eukaryota; Metazoa; Chordata; Mammalia; Rodentia; Muridae.